GACGAACGCUGGCGGCGUGCUUAACACAUGCAAGUCGAACGGUGAAGGGGUCUGCUUUUGUGGGCCCUGGAUGAGUGGCGAACGGGUGAGUAACACGUGAGUAACCUGCCCCCUUCUUCUGGAUAACCGCAUGAAAGUGUGGCUAAUACGGGAUAUUCUGGGUCUGUCGCAUGAUGGGUCUGGGAAAGAUUGCGCCUUUGGGUGUUUUUGGUGGGGGAUGGGCUCGCGGCCUAUCAGCUUGUUGGUGGGGUGAUGGCCUACCAAGGCGGUGACGGGUAGCCGGCCUGAGAGGGUGGACGGUCACACUGGGACUGAGACACGGCCCAGACUCCUACGGGAGGCAGCAGUGGGGAAUAUUGCACAAUGGGCGCAAGCCUGAUGCAGCGACGCCGCGUGAGGGAUGGAGGCCUUCGGGUUGUAAACCUCUUUCGCCAGUGAAGCAGGCCUGCUCCUUGUGGGUGGGUUGGCGGUAGCUGGAUAAGAAGCGCCGGCUAACUACGUG
RNAcentral lists this ribosomal RNA (502 nucleotides) under uncultured bacterium. RNAcentral describes it as "partial 16S ribosomal RNA". It matches the Rfam family "Bacterial small subunit ribosomal RNA", at positions 28 to 507 of the family's 1533-position model. The record is from RNAcentral.